Molecule: long non-coding RNA, 834 nt
Organism: Pygocentrus nattereri (red-bellied piranha)
Lineage: Eukaryota; Metazoa; Chordata; Actinopteri; Characiformes; Serrasalmidae
Exons: 3
Source: RefSeq, a predicted model, not a curated record
UUAAACCAACACUGCUACAUCUCUAAAUAACAUGAAGCUGAAAGUCUAAAUUCUAUCAGCUGAACUUUGUUCUUCAUCAGCAGUAAAAGUCAAACCUACAAUCACCUCAAACCCUGAAGGAGCUGCACUGACAGGAAACACAGUGACUCUGUACUGUAAACUCCAUCAGUCUGCUGGAUGGACGUUUUACUGGUCCAAACACACACAGAGCUCUGAGAAGGAGACCAUCACCAACGUCUACACCAUCAGCUCAGUUAGACUCUCUGAUGGAGGUCAGUACUGGUGCAGAGCUGGCAGAGGAAACCCAGUCUACUACACACACUUCAGUGAUGCACUCUGGGUAAACGUUACUGGAGCUCCAGUCUCAGCGCUCAGUCUGCUCAGCCGUUUAAUGGCAGUGUCUCCAUAUUUGCUGGUGUCCAUCGUGCUGGGGAUCAAAUGCUACAGAGCUCGAGCUGGACCUGAUGAGGAGAACAGAACAUAAGAACAGUGAGGGAAGCUGGAGCGUCUUCCUGAGUGAAUACCAGGAUUUUACAUUCUAUAUAUUUUAAUGUGCUUUAACAGCCAAUCAGAGAUUACUCAGUCUGACAGGUCAGAAAAGAGGCCUUAUAACAUCACGGCUGUGAUGAUCUACGACCAAAUCACGGCCGUGCUGUUCUUUUGCAACAGCGCACUGACUCUCGUGUUCUAUUGUUUAUUAAGCUACAAUCUCUUUGGCCUGAAAAGAUGAAGCUCCUGAACAAAAAUGAAGAGUCAGAAAAACCAAAUUCAUUCUAAUUAUUCAGGCCAGAACUAUGAUAAAUAUUGAUCUUAUACUCUUUAUACCUACAUUUC